GAAAUAAUCUGUCUUAAUUAAAGAUAUUGAAUUUAACUUUUAAGUGAAAAGGCUUAGAUGAUCUGAAGGGACGAUAAGACCCUAUAAAACUUUAUAUUUAAGAGUAGAAAUUAAUUUUAUUUAAAGGUUACUAUUUUAUAAUAUUUGGUUGGGGCGACGGGAUAGAARAAAAAGUAACUGUCUUUUUUUUUUACAAUAAUAUUUGGUUUAAUGAUCCUAAAUGGAUUAAAGAUUAAGUUACUUUAGGGAUAACAGCGUAAUUUUCUUUAAGAGUUCUUAUCGACAGGAAAGUUUGCGACCUCGAUGUUGAAUUAAAGGUUCUUUAUAGAGUAGAGACUAUAAUAGAAGGUCUGUUCGACC
This 360-nucleotide ribosomal RNA is filed under the name Lacunicambarus aff. diogenes 'nebrascensis'. RNAcentral's name for it is "partial large subunit ribosomal RNA". Lineage: Eukaryota; Metazoa; Arthropoda; Malacostraca; Decapoda; Cambaridae. The record is from RNAcentral.